Long non-coding RNA from Culex pipiens pallens (northern house mosquito), 585 nucleotides. RefSeq lists it as uncharacterized. Lineage: Eukaryota; Metazoa; Arthropoda; Insecta; Diptera; Culicidae. The transcript is spliced from 2 exons. The record is from RefSeq and is a predicted model, not a curated record.
UGCGUAAUUAUUUCAGCAUUUUUCAAAUGUAAUUACAUUUCUGCAUUGCCAAAUUGUUUCGAUAUUAGGUAACUUUACUACCCAUUUAUUGUGACAAAUCAGACACACCUUAUAUAUUCGAAGAACUUUGGUGCUCGUCUUGCUGGACGGUUGACAGCUUGAACUAACGUUUCAUUGUGUUUGAAAUUUUCACGCUUCAAACAAGUCGCUCUGUUUCUGCUGCUAUUUUUUCAUUUAUAAUCAGUUAAUUUGCCAAUAAACGCAGAAAAUUUGGUGAAAAUGUGAAAAAAGCUUGCUGCUCUUCCCGCUGGCCCUGCGGAAGGCUAAUUUGGCUGAGAUUUUACAAGUUAGCCAUCUCCUAGUGGACUGAAUCAACUGGAACCGGCCCUCAAUGUUCUCCGCCGUGAAAUCAUUUUGUUUCUUCGAAACAGGUUCAUCAAUCAACUCGGGAGUGCGAGAGCUCGAGCCUCGUUGCCGAGCCAUGGAUGGCGCCGCGAAAGUUCUCAAUUCUUGAAUGUUCCGCCCUGAAGGAUGCCCAACACAGGAAAAGAAAAUAAUUUGGAAAUAAAUAAUGCUGUGUGGAAA